This 923-nucleotide ribosomal RNA is filed under the name uncultured archaeon. RNAcentral describes it as "bacterial SSU rRNA". It matches the Rfam family "Archaeal small subunit ribosomal RNA", at positions 1 to 924 of the family's 1478-position model. The record is from RNAcentral.
UUCCGGUUGAUCCUGCCAGAGGUUACUGCUAUCGGAGUUCGAUUAAGCCAUGCGAGUCUAAAGGUUUCUUCGGAAACCUUGGCGGACUGCUCAGUAACACGUGGAUAACCUACCCUUGGGACUGGAAUAACCCCGGGAAACUGGGGAUAAUACCGGAUAGAUCAGGGAUGCUGGAAUGCGCCUUGAUCCAAAGCUCCGGCGCCCAAGGAUGGGUCUGCGGCCUAUCAGGUAGUAGUGGGUGUAACGUACCUACUAGCCAACGACGGGUACGGGUUGUGAGAGCAAGAGCCCGGAGAUGGAUUCUGAGACACGAAUCCAGGCCCUACGGGGUGCAGCAGGCGCGAAACCUUUACAAUGUGCGAAAGCAUGAUAAGGGAACUCCGAGUGCCAGUAUCUAAUACUGGCUGUCCUUGUGCCUAAAACGCACAAGAUAGCAAGGGCCGGGUAAGACCGGUGCCAGCCGCCGCGGUAACACCGGCGGCCCGAGUGGUAGCCGCUAUUAUUGGGUCUAAAGGGUCCGUAGCCGGGUCGAUAAGUCCUCUGGGAAAUCUGGUUGCUUAACAAUCAGACUGCCAAGGGAUACUGKCGAACUUGAGACCGGGAGAGGUAAGAGGUACUUCAGGGGUAGGAGUGAAAUCUUGUAAUCCCUGGGGGACCAUCUGUGGCGAAGGCGUCUUACCAGAACGGGUCUGACGGUGAGGGACGAAAGCUGGGGGCGCAAACCGGAUUAGAUACCCGGGUAGUCCCAGCCGUAAACGAUGCUCGCUAUGUGUCAGGUACGGUGUGACCGUAUCUGGUGCCGUAGGGAAGCCGUGAAGCGAGCCACCUGGGAAGUACGGCCGCAAGGCUGAAACUUAAAGGAAUUGGCGGGGGAGCACUACAACGGGUGGAGCCUGCGGUUUAAUUGGAUUCAACGCCGGGAA